UUUUGUGGCUCAGUGGUAGAGCGCUUGCCUAACACAUGUGAGGCACUGGGUUCGAUCCCCAAAACUACAUAAAAA
RNAcentral lists this transfer RNA (75 nucleotides) under Marmota monax (woodchuck). RNAcentral's name for it is "tRNA.Val". Lineage: Eukaryota; Metazoa; Chordata; Mammalia; Rodentia; Sciuridae. The record is from RNAcentral.